CAAGCUGAAGCUUUGGUUGAUUCUACUGCUCAAACAUUUGAUGUUCCAAUUCUGACUUGUUCAGAGGCUAUUGAAAGACUAAGAACUAACAGAGAAAAGCACAAAGGGAAGCAGCAAUUCCUGGCAAUGUACUCUAGCAUUUUUGGUGGAAUAACAACAGAUCCAGCAGCUAUGGUGAUACCCAUGGAUGAUCAUAUGGUGCAUAGGGGGCAUGGUGUCUUUGAUACUGCUGCAAUAAUGGAUGGACAUCUAUAUGAAUUGGACCAACACCUUGACCGUAUUCUAAGAUCAGCAUCUAUGGCCAAAAUUAAUCUUCCUUUUGAUCGGGAAAGUAUAAGAAGAAUACUCAUGCAAACAGUGAGUGCUUCCAAGUGUCAGAAAGGAUCACUAAGAUACUGGCUCUCAGUAGGACCUGGUGAUUUCCAACUAUCUCCAUCUGGCUGUCAUCAGCCAGCCCUUUAUGCCAUUGUUAUCCAAGAUCAGUCACCAUUUGAUUCGAAAGGCAUUAAGGUGGUAACUUCAUCAGUCCCUAUAAAACACCCACAGUUUGCCACCAUGAAGAGUGUAAAUUACCUUCCGAAUGUGCUUUCAAAGAUGGAAGCUGAAGAGAAUGGUGCAUUUGCAGCCAUUUGGCUGGAUAAUGAUGGGUUCAUUGCUGAAGGACCUAAUAUGAAGUGUGGCAUUUAUUAACAAAGAUAAAGAACUUCUGAUGCCACACUUUGACAAAAUUCUAAGUGGGUGCACAGCUAAGAGAGUUUUGACUCUAGCUGAGGUGCUGGUCAGGGAGGGUAAACUUCAUGGAGUGAAGAUGGGUAAUGUGACUGUAGAGAAAGGAAAGAAAGCAGAUGAAAUGAUGCUUAUUGGCAGUGGAAUUCUUGUUCGCCCUGUGGUGCAGUGGGAUGACCAGAUCAUUGGCAACGGCAAAGAAGGUCCCAUAACUCUAGCUCUCUUGAAUCUUAUAUUGGAGGACAUGAAGUCUGGCCCUCCAACAAUUCGAAUACCAGUUUCCUAGGAAAAUUUCUGGAUAUUGCAAAGUGGGACUGCAUAC
This 1048-nucleotide unclassified non-coding RNA is filed under the name Hevea brasiliensis (rubber tree). The record is from RNAcentral. Lineage: Eukaryota; Viridiplantae; Streptophyta; Magnoliopsida; Malpighiales; Euphorbiaceae.